This 404-nucleotide ribosomal RNA is filed under the name Actinomycetes bacterium. Its description in RNAcentral is "Actinobacteria bacterium partial 16S ribosomal RNA". It matches the Rfam family "Bacterial small subunit ribosomal RNA", at positions 355 to 776 of the family's 1533-position model. The record is from RNAcentral. Lineage: Bacteria; Bacillati; Actinomycetota; Actinomycetes.
UGGGGAAUAUUGGACAAUGGGCGCAAGCCUGAUCCAGCCAUGCCGCGUGAGUGAUGAAGGCCCUAGGGUUGUAAAGCUCUUUCACCGGUGAAGAUAAUGACGGUAACCGGAGAAGAAGCCCCGGCUAACUUCGUGCCAGCAGCCGCGGUAAUACGAAGGGGGCUAGCGUUGUUCGGAUUUACUGGGCGUAAAGCGCACGUAGGCGGACUUUUAAGUCAGGGGUGAAAUCCCGGGGCUCAACCCCGGAACUGCCUUUGAUACUGGAAGUCUUGAGUAUGGUAGAGGUGAGUGGAAUUCCGAGUGUAGAGGUGAAAUUCGUAGCUAUUCGGAGGAACACCAGUGGCGAAGGCGGCUCACUGGUCCAUUACUGACGCUGAGGUGCGAAAGCGUGGGGAGCAAACAGG